CCUAGAGGUUGGCAUGGCCUUUUAUAAAAUGAAACUUUUAUGGGGUUUAAAAGUGUCUAAUACUGUUAAGUAUCCAAUGAUAACAUUUAUAGACUUUUUAAGACUGUUGGCAGUGAGAGCAAUCCUUCACUAUUCACAGUUUUGGAUAAAAGAUUAUAUAAAACCUACUAAUAAAAUUAAUCCAUCUAAAUAACUAUAUAAAGAUGGCAUCUUUAUAUAGUUAUUAAGUUAUUAAGAAGGCAACCAAUAUACUCUUCAUAAGCAUAAGGACUAUUAACCAGGGGUUUUAAUAGUCUGACCAGGUGCCCCCCCCACAUUUUGGUAAAUUGGCCAAUCAAAGUAUGUCAAAUUAGCUAUUUGUAGUUUUUUUUGUAGUUUCUGUAUGCAAUGUACACAUGGAUGUACCGACAACUGUCACCAGAUUACUUUGCUACCGAAGAAACGUGAUCAUUCUCAGGCAAGUGCUGGAGUUAAAAGCUUGCAAAAGCUUUUUUCCUAUGAUUUCUAAGCAGAAUGGAACUAACAUGCUGCAAAAAGAGUACUGCACCUGUAGCAGAUGCUAAAUUGAUACAAAAUUGUACCUUUAACUACCAGCAACUACUUUGUUCCUUCAAAAGGAACGCAUGAGGGCUCCUUAUGUGGCAGUAAAAUUAUAUUGCUUCUGUACCUCUAAUUGAGCGUAUAAGCAAUUUAAAUUGCUCUAUACACACAUAUGAACAUCAGUGGAAGCGGGACAGGUGGUGUAAUCAUGUUCAUCUUUUCAUGCUUAACUGUGGAGUGAACACUCCAUGUUACGUGUAAAUUUGCAUGCAAAACAGAGCGAUAUGUUUGAAUAACAACAAUACACAAUUUGCUCCUUUCUAAAUAGCUUGGCUUCUGGAGUUAUUACCAAUUCUCCUCAGGUCCAUCACCAACAGAGCUAAUCUGAGAGUCCAGGAGUACAGAGAUACCUGACCUCUGACAAAUGGGGCAGCUGCUCAUUCUGCUGUCCUGCAUACUUUAUAUCCUGCACUUGCUUAUUGCACUUCUGGUUAGACCUAAACUGCAUUUCGUUGCCUUGUACUUGUACAUGUGUAAUGACAAUAAAGUUGAAUCUACUCUAAUUAUGUGAUUAUUGUGGCAUAGGACAUCUAUGCAGGCAAAUGGACACAACUGUCAUUAAAGCUAGGGUAGGCAAUUUAUUAUUUUAGAAGCAUUUUUGAAAUUCUCUUUACAUCUCUUUACAUAUGCAAAUAUUUCACUGUAAUUCUGAAUUGUAUUACCAGAACAGCCAGCAACUGUAAAUUGUUUCCAUUGUGCUCUCAGGUCAACUGCAUAACUGGAGUCCUACCACAAGCACAUACUUAUGUAUGCAAGCAAGCGCUUCAGCUUCUCCCCACCUGUAUACGCAGCUCAGACCAUGCUGGCUGGCCUGGACUACAAUUACUACAUCCACAGACCAGCCAAGAGAAAAGCUGAUGGCUCAAUUCAGUGGCGUGCAACUCUUCAAAGGUGGUACCCGUCAGAGGACAGGUGUCAUGAGGCCGAAAACAUGACGGACAACCGUGGUAAAAACAACCUUUGAUCUCGGCAUCGCCGUCUACAAAGUAAUGCCCCAGCCGUUUUUCGCCCAGCGCGUUGAAUGAAGACGCCACUUCAAAAAAAGAGAGAAUGACGAUAUUUAAGGAUGUUGUUUUACUUGUCUUUAACCGAUUUAGAAUCCCUAUGUACCUCGUGUCUGCCUUCACUUGAACUAAAUCCAAUAUAUUUGAACUUUGACUGUUUCAUUCAUCUCAUGUAUAUGUGACAAAUUUCAUAGGGUUCUGGGUUUUAGCUGCAAAGUUAUCCAAAUAGCUUCCUUCCAUGUGAGACCUGCCCCAGACAACACCCCCACACUUGUAAAUACAUUGUUCUACAUUGAGCCCAUACAUGAGUUUAACUAUGACAGAUUAUUUAGGUUGUUCCCAUUCUGUCUGUUGUAAAAUAUGGAUAUUAGGUGGUAACAUGCAGUGGCACCAAGGCACUGAAGCCCUGCUGUCCUGGCACUGUACACACUGAAUUCAGCUGAAAUAAAUAUUGUGAAUUUCUGCCAACAAACAUGAGUUUCCAACAUUUAUACAAAAUGUUUUCAACUGGAUGAAAUACAUGGUGAUGGCAAAUUGCAAUAUCAUGCCUAUUCAAACAGGAGAAUGCAGACUGAAGCCAUUGUCUGUUCCAAUGCAAUGCACACAUGCACAGACUACCAACAUGUCAUGCCUAAAUUAUGUCAACAUCUAUGACCCAUCCAUCCUGAUCAAAACAGACCAUCCGUACACAGCAGAUCUGUGCAGACAGGUGGACAGAUGGGAAAUAUUGUGUGUAAACAGCUCAAAACGUCACCACCUGAGGUUAUAUUAGGAGGCUUCAUUGCAGGUUUCCAAGAUUUAUUUGGCAGGCAAAAUAUUUAAUGUGUCAUUAGUAUUUCUGUGAUCUUAAUCACAACUGGCCGUCAAACAAUAACUUCAUAAAAUUGACAGGAACAGGCAACAUGUAUUUCCUGAGUCAAAGGACCCACAACAUUAUUUCCACUCUCUUGACCUUGCUAAUCUGUGAAACAAACCUUUGAAUUCUGCAUGCCCACUGUCCAAACUUAUCCACUGACCUUGUUUUGCCUCCCACCCUCCUUUGCACAUCUAGCUGCUUCUUCUUGCCUUACAGUCUCCUCUACAACCAUUUUCUCUUUCCAACUAUGAGUACCCUAUGCCAGUAAAACCUUUGCGCACAUGUUACACCUGCAACCUACAAUAUCCCUCUGUCUAUGUGCUGCCUGUGCCUCUAAAAUUGCCUCCCUUGGUUUCUGCAUAUCCGCAUAUCUCUUGUAAAAAAUUAAAAUGAUGUUUGAACUUGAAUUAAGAUUAUUAUACAGUGAAUAAAGUAAUCAAGCCUCAAUUGUGAAA
Molecule: long non-coding RNA, 2915 nt
Organism: Siniperca chuatsi (mandarin fish)
Lineage: Eukaryota; Metazoa; Chordata; Actinopteri; Centrarchiformes; Sinipercidae
Exons: 2
Source: RefSeq, a predicted model, not a curated record